RNAcentral lists this transfer RNA (75 nucleotides) under Candidatus Iainarchaeum sp. Its description in RNAcentral is "tRNA-Ile". It matches the Rfam family "tRNA". From Rfam's summary of the family: Transfer RNA (tRNA) molecules are approximately 80 nucleotides in length. Their secondary structure includes four short double-helical elements and three loops (D, anti-codon, and T loops). The record is from RNAcentral. RNAcentral also lists the same sequence under 1 other name. Lineage: Archaea; Nanobdellati; Candidatus Iainarchaeota; Candidatus Iainarchaeia; Candidatus Iainarchaeales; Candidatus Iainarchaeaceae.
GGGCACGUAGCUUAGUCUGGUUGGAGCACUCGGCUGAUAACCGAGAGGUCGGCGGUUCAAAUCCGCCCGUGCCCA